Centrocercus urophasianus (Greater sage-grouse) is the source of this 615-nucleotide long non-coding RNA. RefSeq lists it as uncharacterized. The record is from RefSeq and is a predicted model, not a curated record. Lineage: Eukaryota; Metazoa; Chordata; Aves; Galliformes; Phasianidae. The transcript has 4 exons.
CACCAUUAAGACACCAUUAAGAGAAGAAAGUGCUGGAAUGAUUUGAGGUGUGAAUUUGAUGGAGGUGAAGACGAGAGUGAGAGGAACUCAGUGUAACUGCCCACCUGUUUUAGCCCAUGUUGAACAGACAUCAAAGAAGAUACAAGAGGGUUGAGGUCCAGUCAAUCUGCUGAACAGAGUGUUGCAGUGACGAUUGCCUCACAUUUGAAGCAUCCAGGCAGCCUCAGGAGUGUGCCAGUCUGUGGCUGAGGUCGAUGAGUCCCCAGUCCCCUUGAGUCCCACGGGCUGAGAACUUCACAUCUGGAGACUGGUGCCUCUCUUCAACCUCCAGAUUGAUGACAAGGCAUCCCCUAUUGAAGGCUUCUACACCUAGACACUGGCAGAUAUUACAGUCAAUGUGUACAGAACAUGAACUUGGCAAACACGAGAGCAAGAGGAAUCCAGAGAUUAAAAAUGACACUGGACACACCUUGGGGCUCUGGAACAUCCUGGCUGGACUGCUGUUUCUGUGGUCACUCUGUGUCCAGACAAAGGCAUCUGCUGGCUUUUCUACUUCUAAGGGAGAAGAGCUUCAUACAGAAAUUCUCAACCGUUCUCAAGAUAUGUCCAUCAUGA